RNAcentral lists this transfer RNA (74 nucleotides) under Bacillus pseudomycoides. RNAcentral describes it as "tRNA-Trp". It matches the Rfam family "tRNA". From Rfam's summary of the family: Transfer RNA (tRNA) molecules are approximately 80 nucleotides in length. The record is from RNAcentral. Lineage: Bacteria; Bacillati; Bacillota; Bacilli; Caryophanales; Bacillaceae.
GGGAGUUUAGUGUAUUGGUUGCACGAUAGUCUCCAAAACUAUUAGAGAGGGUUCGAUUCCUUCAACUCCUGCCA